This 78-nucleotide transfer RNA is filed under the name Candidatus Woesearchaeota archaeon. Its description in RNAcentral is "tRNA-Arg". It matches the Rfam family "tRNA". Rfam says of the family: Transfer RNA (tRNA) molecules are approximately 80 nucleotides in length. Their secondary structure includes four short double-helical elements and three loops (D, anti-codon, and T loops). Further hydrogen bonds mediate the characteristic L-shaped molecular structure. tRNAs have two regions of fundamental functional importance: the anti-codon, which is responsible for specific mRNA codon recognition, and the 3' end, to which the tRNAs corresponding amino acid is attached (by aminoacyl-tRNA synthetases). tRNAs cope with the degeneracy of the genetic code in two manners: having more than one tRNA (with a specific anti-codon) for a particular amino acid; and 'wobble' base-pairing, i.e. permitting non-standard base-pairing at the 3rd anti-codon position. The record is from RNAcentral. Lineage: Archaea; Nanobdellati; Candidatus Woesearchaeota.
GGACUCGUAGCUCAGCUUGGAUAGAGCACUAGCCUUCUAAGCUAGGGGUCGCGGGUUCAAAUCCCGUCGAGUCCGCCA